AUGUUUUGCUCUAGGGAGAGCGAGGCCAUGAAGCUGCUCGACGAAGAGCAGAUGCGCUGGACGGCGAAAGAGCUGCUGGAGCAGUACCUCAAGUUCAGGCGGGAGGCCGAGGAGGGAGACGGCAACAGCAAGAAGGCAAAGAACAAGAGGAAGAAGGUGAAGGAUCCCUCCAAGCCGAAGCAGCCCAUGUCGGCCUACUUCCUCUACUCGCAGGAGAGGCGUGCCGCGCUGGCCGCCGAGAAGAAGAGUGUGCCUGAGAUUGGUAAGAUCACAGGGGAAGAGUGGAAGGGCAUGACGGAGGCUCAGAAGGCUCCUUACGAGGAGGCUGCGAGGAAGCAGAAGGAGGGAUACCAGAAGCAGAUGGAGGUGUACAAGCAGAAGAAGCUUGAGGAAAACGCGAGCUUAGAGAAGGAAGAAGAGGAGCAGAAGAAAAUCCUCAAGCAGGAGGCUCUGCAGCUUCUUAGGAAGAAGGAGAAGGCAGACAACAUCAUCAAGAAAACCAAAGAGAAGCGUCAGAGGAAGAAGCAGCAGCAGAACGCCGACCCGAACAGGCCCAAGAGGCCCGCGUCUUCCUUCCUGCUCUUCAGCAAGGAGGCUAGGAAGCAGCUGGCGGAGGAGCGCCCCGGGGUGAACAACACGACGCUGAGCGCGCUCAUCUCGGUGAAGUGGAAGGAUCUGAGCGGCGCGGAGAAGAAGGUGUGGAGCGAGAAAGCGGCCCAGGGGAUGGCGGCGUACAAGAGGGAAAUGGACGAGUACACCAAAGCUCACACCUCCGCCUCCUCAUCACCUGUUGCUUAG
This 798-nucleotide ribosomal RNA is filed under the name Triticum aestivum (bread wheat). RNAcentral describes it as "partial small subunit ribosomal RNA". Lineage: Eukaryota; Viridiplantae; Streptophyta; Magnoliopsida; Poales; Poaceae. The record is from RNAcentral.